This 229-nucleotide ribosomal RNA is filed under the name uncultured bacterium. RNAcentral describes it as "partial 16S ribosomal RNA". It matches the Rfam family "Bacterial small subunit ribosomal RNA", at positions 568 to 796 of the family's 1533-position model. The record is from RNAcentral.
UCUGUAGGCGGAAUGGUAAGUUGGGCGUGAAGGCUCCGGGCUCAACCCGGAGAGGUCGUUCAAUACUGCCAAACUAGAGGGCAUCAGAGGAGCGUGGAAUUUCCGGUGUAGCGGUAAAAUGCGCAGAUAUCGGAAGGAACACCAAUGGCGAAGGCAGCGCUCUGGGAUGAAUCUGACGCUAAGAGACGAAAGCUAGGGGAGCGAACAGGAUUAGAUACCCUGGUAGUCC